AUGGAGGCGGCGAUGGUGAACAGGCUCAUUGGCAGCGUGCUGAACCACCUGUCCAAUGAGUUCGUGGAGGCGUUUGUUGCCAGCUCCCAGCUUGGGCUCAACUCCCACAAGAUCAAGCAAGAUCUCAUGCUCGCACAAGGCCUACUGCAAGAGGCCCAGACGAGGGGUGUGAGCGCUAACCUCGGUCUUCAGGGGUUGCUGCAGAAGCUCACCAUCAAGGCCGACGAGGCUGAGGAUGCGCUGGAUGAGCUUCACUACUUCAUCAUCCGGGACCACCUCGACGGCACCCACGACGCGGUGCCUAACCUGGGUGAUGACAUCCUAAGUCGUGCUCGCCAUGGUUGCUAUGCUCUUCGCCACACUGUUGGUAACUGCCUUGCAUGCUUUUCUUGUUCACGCAUCAAAGAUGGUGAUGAUGGUGUUGCUGCUGAUGUCAUUACUGAUAAUCCAUCCAAUGCCACAGUAAACCCUGGUAGUGGUGAUAAUGAUGAUCCAGUUGCUAAGUUACCAUUUGACAGAGUUGCCAUGUCCAAAAAAAUCAAGCUAGUAAUAGAGGAAAUACAGUCCCUGUGUGACAGUGUCUCAAAGUUGCUCCCCACAAUACCACACCAUAGCACCAGCAGAACAAUCACCCCAAGCCAUCGUGUCACAGGAUCAACCAUUACACAACAAACAUUGCAUGGGAGGAGAGCCCUUUUGGAUAAAACCAUAGAUGAUAUCCUCACUACCGCCACACAACAUUUUGAAACCCUUCCUGUUCUUCCUAUAGUUGGUCCAGGGGGUAUUGGAAAGACAACUUUCACCCAACACCUUUAUAGUGAUGAAAGGAUAGAAGAGCACUUUGCUAUUAAGGCUUGGGUUUGUGUAUCAACAGAGUUUGAUGUGGUUAAGCUUAGCCAACAGAUCCUUAGCUCCAUAAAAAGAAGCAACACUUCAAAUCAAACAAACAAUUUGGAUGAGCUCCAAAUAUCCAUCACAGAGGAACUCAAGUCCAAAAGGUUUUUAAUUGUGUUUGAUGAUAUAUGGAAUGCAAUAGCGAGGGAUGGAAAACCCUGUUAG
RNAcentral lists this ribosomal RNA (1059 nucleotides) under Triticum aestivum (bread wheat). RNAcentral describes it as "partial small subunit ribosomal RNA". The record is from RNAcentral. Lineage: Eukaryota; Viridiplantae; Streptophyta; Magnoliopsida; Poales; Poaceae.